UACGUAGGUGGCAAGCGUUGUCCGGAUUUACUGGGCGUAAAGAGCGCGCAGGCGGUCGUCCAAGUCGCGUGUGAAAGCCCCCGGCUCAACUGGAGGGUCACGCGAUACUGGUCGACUCGAAGGCAGGAGAGGGUAGUGGAAUUCCCGGUGUAGUGGUGAAAUGCGUAGAUAUCGGGAGGAACACCAGUGGCGAAGGCGACUACCUGGCCUGUUCUUGACGCUGAGGCGCGAAAGCUAGGGGAGCAAACGGG
RNAcentral lists this ribosomal RNA (251 nucleotides) under uncultured bacterium. Its description in RNAcentral is "partial 16S ribosomal RNA". It matches the Rfam family "Bacterial small subunit ribosomal RNA", at positions 524 to 776 of the family's 1533-position model. The record is from RNAcentral.